Non-coding RNA from Megalopta genalis, 370 nucleotides. The record is from RefSeq and is a predicted model, not a curated record. Lineage: Eukaryota; Metazoa; Arthropoda; Insecta; Hymenoptera; Halictidae.
UUAUCAAUAAGAAAAUCACCCAUUUAGUUGAGGAUGCAUUUCCUGACUCGUACGCACUGACCUCGUACAACGUACAUCUGAUCCCAGGUCGUUGACCGCAAAAUUUGAGGGAUACUGUCCGAGGAACCUCUGGGACCGAAUUGUAAGCUGUCAGAUCUAUAAUAGAAUCGAAUUCGUCGUUCUUCGAGCCUUGCGACUCACCUUCGUAGUGCCGUCACCGCGGGAGAGAGAGAGAGAGAGAGAGAGAGAGAGAGAGAGAGAGAGAGGAGGAACAAAAUUCGAGUCGAACGAUACUACCUGGAGAGGCAGCGGCUAGCAUGCCGGUGUACAUUACAACGCAAUGCUACAAUAAAAACGAUGACAUAACUUU